CACCGUUACACAUUCGGGCCACAUAUACCCUUCCACCGUUAAAACUUGUUUCCUCAAUAUUUUUAAACACGUGGCAGUCUUACAUUGGUCCAAAUUAGUCCACCCAAUCAAUUGUUUAAACCCACCCGACCCAAAUUUAUAACCCGUCCCGACCCCAGUUAUUUGACCAUAUUGACCAUCAACACCAUCAUCACUUUACCAUCCAAGGAUCAUCACCAUAACUGCAACAAACAAAGCUCAAGUUUCAUUGUUCAACUACUCCCACCGUUAUCACAAAUCGAGCCUGAGAAGACGCCUCAAGUCACUAGUAGCAUCGUCGGUACUCUCACUUUUCUUCUUGUUGAAGAAAGCCGGCACAGGCAAAGAGCUCUGAGGCGGCGAGGUUACAAAAGCCGAUCCAGCAUAAAAAUCACCGAUCCUUAUCUGCUCCGGCACCAUAUUCGGCUCUGGACCAAGCCGAUCUGUAGUCGACAACACCAAAUCUUCAACUACUCCACCACCCACCUUUUUGUUAUCGUCCUUCAAAGGUACCGGCUUGGUCAACGCUUCACCGCGUUUCAGAAUCUUCACCUCGUCCAUCACCAUAGGGCGGUUUUUAGCAGGAGGAGAACUCGAUAGGUUAGCCGGUCCAUUCUUUUGUGGACUUCGCUUUCUUCGGUUGUUGUUAGAAUUGAAAUUACGUCGAGAUCUCAUAGGCUGUACAUAGUUAUGACUGGGGUCGGGGCGGGUUAUAAAUUUGGGUCGGGCGGGUUUAAACAAUUGACUGGGUGGGCUAAUUUGGACCAAUGUAAGACGGUCCAUUCUUUUGUGGACUUCGCUUUCCUCGGUUGUUGUUAGAAUUGAAAUUACGUUGAGAUCUCAUAGGCUGUACAUAGUUAUGACUGGGGUCAG
RNAcentral lists this long non-coding RNA (891 nucleotides) under Nicotiana benthamiana. RNAcentral describes it as "long non-coding RNA (NBEN_LNC038045)". The record is from RNAcentral. Lineage: Eukaryota; Viridiplantae; Streptophyta; Magnoliopsida; Solanales; Solanaceae.